Molecule: long non-coding RNA, 3172 nt
Filed under: Homo sapiens (human)
Lineage: Eukaryota; Metazoa; Chordata; Mammalia; Primates; Hominidae
Description: synapse stability regulating cerebellar lncRNA
Source: RNAcentral
AGGCGCGGCGAGGCGGGUGGCGCGCGGCAGCAGGGUUGGGCUCUCGCCGUGAGUCGACGAAGGGAGCGCGGGCGCGCGCCCGCGUCCGCGCACUGAGAGUCGCCUCGGCCGCUCGCUUUCUCGACUCCCGCCUCGCGCCUCGAUCCUGUUCCGCCUCCCUCGGCCCUCCUGCCCGCCCCCACUCGUCGGCCCUCAGGUUCCUGGAAAGUGAAAAUUUCAUUUCUUUGUGGACAGGUACCUAAAAUGUCUCAUUAUUCAUCAAUUAAUGAAAAACAAAUGAAAAUUUGAGAGAGAUAUUCUGAAGAAUAAAAGGAUCAAGUUGGGUCAUUUCUAAAAUCUCAGAGACCUAAUAGGAUGGGGUCUUAGAGAAACAUCUUUUGAGCCACAGACUUCUUUGUUACCAGAAGGAAAAUGAAAGAAGAAAUUUAAAUACCACUUGAAGAGAGGUAAAUAAAUGAGAAAUGGGGCUGAGAGGGCGGGUAUUUUUUUAAAAAUUCAUUAAAUGGAAAAAUCCACAAAUGUUAAUUCUGGUAGAUUUCUUAGAAAUUACAUCAGAGGAGCAUGCUUGGUCUUCCCACCCUCAUUAGGCCUCAGUGACAGGUACUUGAACAACUGAGCCCCUAAUGUGCAUGCUCCCCCACCCCUGAAGCCAGUCUCUGCCCUCCUCUUCCCUCCUCUUGCCCCUGGAAGCUGAUCGCCACCAACUGGCCUCUGGGUGGAUUUGGCCAAUGGAAGCACCUGUAGAGGGAAGAGAGUGAGGUUAGGAUAUUUCUUCCUGCUGUCUCCGUGCUUCCCUGCAGAGAGUGUGAAGAAAUGACCCUGAAAAGCCUCUGGCAGAGGAUUCUUCUUUCAGGAUGGUGUCGCCUCCUCAGCAGCCCAUCCUCCUCCCCUGGACUCAAGCUCUCAUUCCAGUAACACUCCUUCCUCCUUCUCCAUCUUCAGGGGGAGGUUUGCCAGUCGGUGGGUUCUAAGCAUAUCUCGCUGAUUCCCCCCAACCCUGCCGACACCUCUGUAGGUCGUCCCUUCAUUAAAAUCUCUCCAUUUGAACUAUCUGAGUUUAAUUCCAUUUCCUCCUGGUAUCUCAGUGAUACACGGUAUCAGUACAAAAAUCUCGCUUCACCUUCAGAACCAACAGAUUUGAGACAUUUUAUCCUCUGUGGAACCAUUAGUUAUUUUGUCAUUGGUUGUAUCAGAAAAAAAAAUCAGGAAUGCAAAUCCUUCUUUAUUACAGAUUCAGAUUUGCAUAUUACCAAUGUUAUAUAUUUUAAACAAAACUAUUCAUCAUAAGUUUUAAAAAUUAACUACUGGAGUAGUUAAUGAAUCUGAAUGUAAUUAUGUAGCUUUCAUAAUAUUAAAGUAAAAAUACUAAAAGAAGUAUUUCUUAAAGAAGCAAAUGCUCAAUCUCCAAGUAAAUUUUAUUCUAUGCUCUUCCGGUAUAAGAAUAUGUUAAUAUCUUGAAAAAUAUCAUAUUAUUUUGUGAACUCAUAAAGCUAUUUUGAGUUUUUGUAAAAUGAAAACCUUACCAAAAUGUAUUUUAUUGUUGGAAAGCUUGACCGUUACUGCUGUUUAAUUUUUUGAGCUUGUAAACUUUAUUUGUGCAUGUUUUCAACAAAGAAGGAUUUUAUUGUUAUUACAUAAAACAGGUGAUUUCUAGAUUUUAAAAUCACAAAUUGAAAGCAAGGCACAAUAAUAUAUAUUUCAAGAUAUAGGUACUUAGGAGGCAUCCUUUUAGUCAUCUGUUCAAUGUAGCCAUCUAUUUUACACCUACUGUCUACUAUUGUUUGAGGUCCUUGCCAAAGUAUUGCAGGCUAGUUAGGAAACAUAAAACAAUUAGAAAGUAAUCUAUGACAAGUAAGCUAUCUAUAAAUGGCAAUGAAGGGUAGAACAAAUUCAAUGAAAAUAUCUAUUUAAUCCUAGUGUUUACUGGUCUAGAAGAAUAGGCUGAGUAAAUUAGUAUUUCUCUGGCUGUUGUGGUAACACAUUGCAUGCUAUAACAGUUUUAAGUAAUUACAGGUGCAUUGAAAUUUAUCUAUGGCUUUGUCAUCAUAUUCUAAAAUGUCAUGAGUACUUUUUUCUGACCUCAAUUACUAUGAAAUUGGUUUCCAAUAUUUAAUUAACCAAGAAUAUCAAGUCUAUAGGGUAUUAUUAAGGUGAGACUUCUGUAGCCUUUUCAAUAAAGACCAGAAUUUUGGAGUGCCUUGAACCUUAAUCAUUGAUCUUUAAUUCUUAUUAAGUCAACUGCCCACCUUUUAAAGACUGAGGCCCAGGAAGAGUAAGUUUCUCUGAGACAAUGCAUACAGUACAGUGCUUCUUGGGUAUUGGCUCUAAGACCAGAUGCAAAGAAAGGCUAAAAUCCCAUUUCAUUGUUCAUUAGGUGAGAACCCUUUGUUAAGCUGUGUAACCUCUGUGCAUAGUUUCCUCAUCAGCAAAGUCAGAAAAAGUAUGUACCUGAAGGACUGAUUGUAAGGCUGGGAUGAGAGAAUCCAUGUGAUCAGCCCUCACCAACAGGUGCUGCCCAGUUCAUGAGUGCUGCUGCUGUCCUGCCCAAGUACCCAGCUUGCAGAGUGCCAGAGUUAGAGUCCCAGGGGUGUUCUCCACAGCUGCAUGCUUGAUCCAGGCCUAUCAGGUGUUAUUUGUUGACGGAACCAGGCAUCAUCAGCAAACAAAACUGACAAAGCUUCCUGCCCUCUGUGGAAGGCAUCUGAGGAAGAGACUGGAUUUUGUAGCAACAUGUUAUUCUCAUUAUAAACUUUAUCAUUGGAAUACUAAAGCCAAAUCAUCCCCCAUCUCCUUGAUCAGGAUACCCACUUAAUCUAGGCAGCUACACAAUUGUGAGAGCCUUUGUUUUUUUCUGCUGAAACAUCCUUAAAAAGAUACCUCACAACCCAAGAUUUGGCUUUUCUUAAAUACGAUUUUUAAUUUUUUUCAUUUCUAUCUAGAGAUUUAAUUGGAAAUGGAAAAUCAUCAAUUUUCCAAUUAAAUGUCUGUUCCAAUCAACAUUAUACCUUUUAGGUUGUCAUUGUCAUUUUUAAGUUUAAGCAACUUUAAGGAUUUUGAAUCUGGCUGCCUGUAAAUUAAAGGUGAAAGUAAUCAUUGUGUUGGAUUGGAACAUUUUGUCAAUUGAGAGUGGUUUCCUUGUUCUUAGUGUAUGAAAAGUUUAUUUUUCUAAUGU